RNAcentral lists this ribosomal RNA (502 nucleotides) under uncultured bacterium. Its description in RNAcentral is "bacterial SSU rRNA". It matches the Rfam family "Bacterial small subunit ribosomal RNA", at positions 38 to 518 of the family's 1533-position model. The record is from RNAcentral.
GGCGGCGUGCCUAACACAUGCAAGUCGAACGAUCUUUGAUUAUAGCAAUAUUAUUAAAGAGGAGUGGCGAACGGGUGAGUAACACGUAGAUAAUCUGCCUUUCAGACGGGGACAACUCAGGGAAACUUGUGCUAAUACCCGAUGAGACCACAAGAAGGGAUUUUUGUGGCCAAAGGCGGGCAGCAAUGCUCGUGCUGAAAGAUGAGUCUGCGUCCUAUCAGCUAGUUGGUGGGGUAAAUGCCUACCAAGGCUAAGACGGGUAGCCGGCCUGAGAGGGUGAACGGCCACACUGGGACUGAGACACGGCCCAGACUCCUACGGGAGGCAGCAGUGAGGAAUUUUCCGCAAUGGGCGCAAGCCUGACGGAGCGACGCCGCGUGAGGGAUGACAGCUUUCGGGUUGUAAACCUCUUUUAUUAAGGAAAAAGAUCUAUAUGCUAAUAUCAUGUAGAUUCGAUGGUACUUAUUGAAUAAGCCCCGGCUAACUACGUGCCAGCCGCGGC